RNAcentral lists this ribosomal RNA (2509 nucleotides) under Aurigamonas solis. RNAcentral describes it as "SSU rRNA". The stretch from base 737 to 2509 matches the Rfam family "Eukaryotic small subunit ribosomal RNA". Lineage: Eukaryota; Cercozoa; Glissomonadida; Pansomonadidae. The record is from RNAcentral.
CUACUAAUACAUUAAAUUAUAACUAAAUUAUAUAUUUAUUUCUUUGGUCUGCCGUCGUUGGGACAUACCUCCUCGCGGAUAAGUUAAAGAAGAAUACCUUCCAGAAUAAAAACAUACAGUAGGGCAUAUAAAUAAAUUUAUUUGUUACUUAUGACCACACUAUUAUUUUAAUAAAAACUUCCCGAGUGUGCAUUUUUAUCUUUCUUUGUUAAAGGUAUUCGUAUUUAAAACAGUAAGGUAAUAACGCAAAGAAUUAAUAGACUUAAAUAUAACAAAUACAAACAGUAAUACCAUAUUAGGUGUUAGAACAGAUUAUCAACACAAAAUUAAUUGUAAAAACAUAACAGAAACUCUCGAAGACGCCAAGAAAUAAUUGUGUACAAAAUAAUAUAUAAAAAUAUAACAAUUGGACAUACCGUCAACAGUCAACAACAAUACAGGUAUAAUUUCACUGAGAUUCAUUGGCGGAGAAUGGUUUAGUUAACAUAUCUUUUUUAUUAAAUCAUUCUAUAAUUAGAAGAUGAUUUGAUCCGACUAUAUGUGAUCAUUUAAAAGUACAAAUAAUUUAAUCAAAUUAACAAGAACGAUAAUACAACUAAAAAAGAAACAUAUACGGCUUUCACCGGACGCUACAAUUUAUAAUUUAUCAAAUCAUAGAAUUAUUCAAGUUUAAGAUUUUGUUAUAUUCUAAGAUAAAAAAUUGAAAGAUUCUCUAACCCGUAACAAUACGACUAACAAUCUGGUUGAUCCUGCCAGUAGCAUAUGCUUGUCUCAAAGAUUAAGCCAUGCAUGUCUAAGUAUAAACAUCUUUAUACAGUAAAACUGCGUACGGCUCAUUAUAUCAGUAAUUAUUUAUUUGAUGGUACCUUACUACAUGGAUAACCGUAGUAAUUCUAGAGCUAAUACAUGCACAAAGUCCCGACUUCGCGGAAGGGAUGUAUUUAUUAGAUAAAAAAUCAAUGCGGGUUCUGCCCGGUUAUUUGGUGAAUCAUAGUAACUGUUCGAAUCGCACGGCCUCGUGCUGGCGAUAGUUCAUUCAAAUUUCUGCCCUAUCAGCUUGAUUGUAGUGUAGUGGACUACAAUGGCAGUGACGGGUAACGGAGAAUUAGGGUUCGAUUCCGGAGAGGGAGCCUGAGAAACGGCUACCACAUCCAAGGAAGGCAGCAGGCGCGCAAAUUACCCAAUCCUGACACAGGGAGGUAGUGACAAGAAAUAACAAUAUCGGGCCUUUCUAGGUCUGGUAAUUGGAAUGAGUACAAUUUAAAUCCCUUAACGAGUAUCAAUUGGAGGGCAAGUCUGGUGCCAGCAGCCGCGGUAAUUCCAGCUCCAAUAGCGUAUAUUAAAGUUGCUGCAGUUAAAAAGCUCGUAGUUGGAUUUCUGACUUAGUACGUCUGGCCCGCCACAGUUAUGUGGUGUGUGCCGGGUCGUGCUUGUCAUCCUUCUAGUGAACGUAUCUGCCCUUAACUGGGUUGGGUACGAGAUCUAGAUCUUUUACUUUGAGUAAAUUAGAGUGUUUAAAGCAGGCUUAUGCUAUGAAUACAUUAGCAUGGAAUAAUAAUUUAGGACUUUGGUUCUAUUUUGUUGGUUUCUAGGACUGAAGUAAUGAUUGAUAGGGAUCGUUGGGGGUGCUCGUAUUCAGCGGCCAGAGGUGAAAUUCUUGGAUUCGCUGAAGACGAACUAAUGCGAAAGCAUUCACCAAGGAGAUCUUCUUUAAUCAAGAACGAAAGUUGGGGGAUCGAAGACGAUCAGAUACCGUCGUAGUCUCAACCAUAAACUAUGCCGACUAGGGAUCAGGGAGCGUUGAUUUAUCGACCUCCUUGGCACCUUAUGAGAAAUCAAAGUCUUUGGGUUCCGGGGGGAGUAUGGUCGCAAGGCUGAAACUUAAAGGAAUUGACGGAAGGGCACCACCAGGAGUGGAGCCUGCGGCUUAAUUUGACUCAACACGGGGAAACUUACCAGGUCCGGACUAACAGAGGAUUGACAGAUUGAAGAUCUUUCUUGAUCGUUAGGGUGGUGGUGCAUGGCCGUUCUUAGUUGGUGGAGUGAUUUGUCUGGUUUAUUCCGUUAACGAACGAGACCUCGACCUGCUAAAUAGCUCGGUGAACUCCUCGGGGUUCAUACGUGGCUUCUUAGAGGGACUAUCGGUGCGUAGCCGAAGGAAGUUCGAGGCAAUAACAGGUCUGUGAUGCCCUUAGAUGUUCUGGGCCGCACGCGCGCUACACUGAUGCGUUCAUCGAGCUUAUAACCUUGCCCGAUAGGGUUGGGUAAUCUUCUCAAAGCGCAUCGUGCUGGGGAUAGAUGAUUGUAAUUAUUCAUCUUCAACGAGGAAUUCCUAGUAAUCGCAUGUCAUCAGCAUGCAAUGAUUACGUCCCUGCCCUUUGUACACACCGCCCGUCGCUACUACCGAUUGAAUGAAUUAGUGAGCUUCAGCGGAUUGAUGCUCUAGGGGGCAACUUUUAGGGUAUUGAGAUGUGAAACAAACUUGCUCAUUAGAGGAAGUAAAGUCGUA